UACGGAAGGCAGCAGUGGGGAAUAUUGCACAAUGGGCGCAAGCCUGAUGCAGCCAUGCCGCGUGUAUGAAGAAGGCCUUCGGGUUGUAAAGUACUUUCAGUCGUGAGGAAGGUGUUAAGGUUAAUAACCUUAGCAAUUGACGUUAGCGACAGAAGAAGCACCGGCUAACUCCGUGCCAGGCAGCCGCGGUAAUACGGAGGGUGCGAGCGUUAAUCGGAAUUACUGGGCGUUAAAGGGCACGCAGGCGGUUAAUUAAGUUGGAUGUGAAAUCCCCGGGCUUAACCUGGGAAUGGCAUUCAAGACUGGUUAGCUAGAGUCUUGUAGAGGGGGUAGAAUUCCAUGUGUAGCGGUGAAAUGCGUAGAGAUGUGGAGGAAUACCGGUGCGAAGGCGGCCCCUGGACAAAGACUGACGCUCAUGUGCGAAAGCGUGGGGAGCAAAC
Molecule: ribosomal RNA, 440 nt
Filed under: uncultured bacterium
Lineage: Bacteria
Description: bacterial SSU rRNA
Rfam family: Bacterial small subunit ribosomal RNA
Source: RNAcentral